This 498-nucleotide ribosomal RNA is filed under the name uncultured bacterium. RNAcentral's name for it is "partial 16S ribosomal RNA". It matches the Rfam family "Bacterial small subunit ribosomal RNA", at positions 28 to 507 of the family's 1533-position model. The record is from RNAcentral.
GACGAACGCUGGCGGCGUGCCUAAUACAUGCAAGUCGAGCGGACGGAUGGGAGCUUGCUCCCAGACCGUCAGCGGCGGACGGGUGUGUAACACGUGGGCAACCUGCCUGUAAGACUGGGAUAACUCCGGGAAACCGGGGCUAAUACCGGAUAACUCUUUCCCUCACAUGAGGGAAAGCUGAAAGAUGGCAUCUCGCUAUCACUUACAGAUGGGCCCGCGGCGCAUUAGCUAGUUGGUGAGGUAACGGCUCACCAAGGCGACGAUGCGUAGCCGACCUGAGAGGGUGAUCGGCCACACUGGGACUGAGACACGGCCCAGACUCCUACGGGAGGCAGCAGUAGGGAAUCUUCCGCAAUGGACGAAAGUCUGACGGAGCAACGCCGCGUGAGUGAUGAAGGUUUUCGGAUCGUAAAACUCUGUUGUCAGGGAAGAACAAGUACCGGAGUAACUGCCGGUACCUUGACGGUACCUGACCAGAAAGCCACGGCUAACUACGUG